This 468-nucleotide ribosomal RNA is filed under the name uncultured bacterium. RNAcentral's name for it is "partial 16S ribosomal RNA". It matches the Rfam family "Bacterial small subunit ribosomal RNA", at positions 28 to 507 of the family's 1533-position model. The record is from RNAcentral.
GACGAACGCUGGCGGCGUGCUUAACACAUGCAAGUCGAACGGAAAGGCCCUGCUUUUGUGGGGUGCUCGAGUGGCGAACGGGUGAGUAACACGUGAGUAACCUGCCCUUGACUUUGGGAUAACUUCAGGAAACUGGGGCUAAUACCGGAUAGGAGCUCCUGCUGCAUGGUGGGGGUUGGAAAGUUUCGGCGGUUGGGGAUGGACUCGCGGCUUAUCAGCUUGUUGGUGGGGUAGUGGCUUACCAAGGCUUUGACGGGUAGCCGGCCUGAGAGGGUGACCGGCCACAUGGGGACUGCGAUACGGCCCAGACUCCUACGGGAGGCAGCAGGGGGGAAUAUUGCACAAUGGGCGGAAGCCUGAUGCAGCAACGCCGCGUUCGGGAUGACGGCCUUCGGGUUGUGAACCGCUUUCGCCUGUGACGAAGCGUGAGUGACGGUAAUGGGUAAAGAAGCACCGGCUAACUACGUG